This 30-nucleotide non-coding RNA is filed under the name Mus musculus (house mouse). Lineage: Eukaryota; Metazoa; Chordata; Mammalia; Rodentia; Muridae. The record is from RNAcentral.
UAAAAAUAUCUCAGAGUGUACCCGGCUGUG